Molecule: unclassified non-coding RNA, 1282 nt
Filed under: Leishmania donovani
Lineage: Eukaryota; Euglenozoa; Kinetoplastea; Trypanosomatida; Trypanosomatidae
Description: gene:LdHU3.35.6160(CDS-product:hypothetical_prote in_conserved)
Source: RNAcentral
CCCACGGCAUCGUACAUGGGGAGGAAAAGAAACGAGAAGCACGCAAGCGCCACUCAGCGGCGCAGAGAGGAGUGUGGAGUCCGACUGCGAGACAGACAGGGAAACGCGGUGCCAGCUCAUCUCACGGAUUAGCCAGUCGUGCGUGUCUGUCGAUCUGUGAGAGCGUGUGAAUUUCUUCUUCCGUGCGUCGCUCCUAUCGUCCGUCGCGAUUGCCCUGUGCACUUUUUCUCUUGCGGUCUUUUUCGGAUUUUUUUUCACUCGCUCUCAUGUUCAGGUGCAAUGUCUAGCGUGACACCAACGAUCCCUUUCAAGGCGUGGCUGAAGCUGCACGCCAAGGCGAUUUGUCAAGCGCUGCCGCUUUCUCUUCUUAUCGUGGUAGAGGCACGUGAUCUCUACUACCGCGCCACCUGGGACGUCACCCCGGUGCCGCCGAGCAAGUUCGAGGUCGGGGAUGUUAUUGCGGUGUGCAACCGGUGGUACACACUACCCACCUGGAGCCACGUUGUGUACAGCUGGCUCUCUAAGGUGCUGCUCAAGUCGUGCUGGGACGAUGUUGGCGUCAUUUCAUCGGUGAGAAAUGGCACGCCACACAUCCUCUACGUAGACUUCCACGGCGUGCAUGAGCAGCCGUUGGACGCGUUUCUGGAAGCGCGCUGCCCUCGCGGUGCGGCGGUUCGGAAGCUGCACCGGGACGAAGGCGUACCAUCGCCUAGCCCUGCUAUCGCAGAUCUCUUUCGCAAGGAGGUGGAGAUGAUCUCCGUGGAGCCGUGGUUCCUUUUCUCGGCAAGCAUGCGUGGGGGCAACGAGCACAAGUACUACGAGUUCUGUGUCCGCAUGCACGAGCAGCGGUGCAAGAUACGCUCCAUGCUGCAGCGGCGACAGUCGCGGCGGGCGAUUGAGGCACAGCAAACUUCCUUGCAGGAGAUGGAGGUGAUGCGGCAGCAUCUCGCCAAGUUCGUGGAACCGGUGACACACUUUCACCUCUACAACGGCUCUCUCGUGGCGUCCUUGUUCGCCACGUACGGACUGCUUGACCGUGAUAUGCCCUCACCGUCGCGAUACGUUCCACAGGACUUUGCCCACACAAUCCCCUUCCUCGGCGCCACCACGCUCGAUGAGCCCAUUGUCUUCUUUAGGAACUGAGCAGUGAAAGGCGGUGACUGCGCUUAACCGCUGCCGAUGAGGUUGCGCAGGUGUGUCAGAUUGUCCGACGAUGUCUUCACGGGACGUGUGCCGAGUUGGAAGCGUAGCCCUGAUCCGUCUCCACACCAUCCUCGACAAG